RNAcentral lists this ribosomal RNA (286 nucleotides) under uncultured bacterium. RNAcentral's name for it is "partial 16S ribosomal RNA". It matches the Rfam family "Bacterial small subunit ribosomal RNA", at positions 773 to 1060 of the family's 1533-position model. The record is from RNAcentral.
GUGGAUUAGAUACCCUGGUAGUCCACACCGUAAACGUUGGGCGCUAGGUGUGGGACUCAUUCCACGAGUUCCGUGCCGCAGCUAACGCAUUAAGCGCCCCGCCUGGGGAGUACGGCCGCAAGGCUAAAACUCAAAGGAAUUGACGGGGGCCCGCACAAGCGGCGGAGCAUGCGGAUUAAUUCGAUGCAACGCGAAGAACCUUACCUGGGUUUGACAUAUGCCGGAAAGCUCUGGAGACAGAGCCCCUUUUAGUCGGUAUACAGGUGGUGCAUGGCCGUCGUCAGCU